This 549-nucleotide long non-coding RNA is filed under the name Pan troglodytes (chimpanzee). RNAcentral describes it as "long non-coding RNA NONPTRT001557". The record is from RNAcentral. Lineage: Eukaryota; Metazoa; Chordata; Mammalia; Primates; Hominidae.
GGGCUCGGUUGAACGGACUCACCAGGAAACGUGACUUUCGUGUCCGACCUCUGCUGUAUCAGGAUUCGAUUCUCGGUGUUAAACAAGACAACGCUGAAGGCUCGGUGCAGCAGCCCUGCAAAGGUUUUUCCAGCGCUCUUGGGAGGUGGGCUGUGCCACUCCCUGUCCCACCUGGCCCACCUGGCCCACCAUUACCUGAAGGGAAGCAUGAACAGCCUUUGACGUGGGAGUGGCAACUGCUGAGAGGGAACCGUCUGUACACAAGCAAUGUAGCCUUAUGGGACCCGAGUGGAGCCCCAACCCACGCAGGGCGUGUCUUCAUGGCUUUUCCUGGCCAAUCUGAUACCAAGAUGCAGUGGCAGAAGUACCUGCACUUCCACUCCUGUCAAGUCUCUGCAUGGCUAUGGUGAGGAAGAGCUCUGCACUGGGCAAGGAAGUUGGCUGUCGAGUGAAGGAAAUGGUGAUGCUGGUGGCCCCUUUCCUGCAGUCAAGUUCCCUAUCAAGGACAUUCAGUUCUCGGAAAGUGGUGAAGGCACACGCUUCCCUGCA